RNAcentral lists this small nuclear RNA (107 nucleotides) under Chinchilla lanigera (long-tailed chinchilla). Lineage: Eukaryota; Metazoa; Chordata; Mammalia; Rodentia; Chinchillidae. The record is from RNAcentral.
AUGCUUGCUUCAGCAGCACAUACACUAAAAUAGGAACCAUGCAGAGAAGAUUAGUAUGGCUCCUGCACAAGGAUGACACACAAAUUCGUGAAACGUUUCAUAUUUUU